CGCGUAGGCCGUUGAGUUAGUUAAUUGUGAAAUCCCAAAGCUUAACUUUGGAACUGCAAUUAAAACUGCUCGACUAGAGUUUGAUAGAGGAAAGCGGAAUACAUAGUGUAGAGGUGAAAUUCGUAGAUAUUAUGUAGAACACCAGUUGCGAAGGCGGCUUUCUGGAUCAACACUGACGCUGAGGCGCGAAAGUAUGGGUAGCAAAGAG
RNAcentral lists this ribosomal RNA (208 nucleotides) under uncultured bacterium. Its description in RNAcentral is "partial 16S ribosomal RNA". It matches the Rfam family "Bacterial small subunit ribosomal RNA", at positions 568 to 775 of the family's 1533-position model. The record is from RNAcentral.